AAGCGAGACAGUGAUGUGGAUCGGACCCCUUAAAGAAUGUCGUAGUCCGGAUUGGAGUCUGCAACUCGACUCCAUGAAGUCGGAAUCGCUAGUAAUCGCAGGUCAGAAUACUGCGGUGAAUACGUUCCCGGGCCUUGUACACACCGCCCGUCACACCAUGGGAGUGGGAUGCAAAAGAAGUAGUUAGUCUAACCUUCGGGAGGACGAUUACCACUUUGUGUUUCAUGACUGGGGUGAAGUCGUAACAAGGUAACCCUAGGGGAACCUGGGGUUGGAUCACCUCCUU
Molecule: ribosomal RNA, 286 nt
Filed under: uncultured Alteromonas sp.
Lineage: Bacteria; Pseudomonadati; Pseudomonadota; Gammaproteobacteria; Alteromonadales; Alteromonadaceae
Description: partial 16S ribosomal RNA
Rfam family: Bacterial small subunit ribosomal RNA
Source: RNAcentral